UGUUUUGGCUGCACCCUCUUGAAUUUGUUAGACCCAGAAACUAAGCAGGGUCAGGCCUGGCCAGUACUUUGAUAGGAGACAGCUUGUUAGUGCCAAAGGCCAGAACUA
RNAcentral lists this ribosomal RNA (108 nucleotides) under Salvator merianae (Argentine black and white tegu). The record is from RNAcentral. Lineage: Eukaryota; Metazoa; Chordata; Lepidosauria; Squamata; Teiidae.